GAUGAAGAACGCAGCGAAAUGCGAUAAGUAAUGUGAAUUGCAGAAUUUAGUGAAUCAUCGAAUCUUUGAACGCACAUUGCGCCCGCCAGCACUCUGGCGGGCAUGCCUGUCCGAGCGUCAUUUCAACCCUCAGGGCCCCUUCGGGGGACCUGGCGUUGGGGAUCGGCCCGCCCCCGUGCGGCGCCGUCCCCGAAAUAUAGUGGCGGUCUCGCUGCAGCCUCCCCUGCGUAGUAGCACACCUCGCACUGGAGAGCGGCGCGGCCACGCCGUGAAACCCCCAACUUCUGAAUGUUGACCUCGGAUCAGGUAGGAAUACCCGCUGAACUUAAGCAUAUCAAUAAGCGGAGGA
RNAcentral lists this unclassified non-coding RNA (349 nucleotides) under soil metagenome. RNAcentral describes it as "partial contains 5.8S ribosomal RNA, internal transcribed spacer 2, and large subunit ribosomal RNA". The stretch from base 1 to 120 matches the Rfam family "5.8S ribosomal RNA", at positions 35 to 154 of the family's 154-position model. The record is from RNAcentral.